UACGUAGGGCGCAAGCGUUGUCCGGAAUUAUUGGGCGUAAAGAGCUCGUAGGCGGUCUGUCGCGUCUGUUGUGAAAACUCGAGGCUCAACCUCGGGCUUGCAGUGGAUACGGGCAGACUAGAGUGCGGUAGGGGAGGCUGGAAUUCCUGGUGUAGCGGUGGAAUGCGCAGAUAUCAGGAGGAACACCGAUGGCGAAGGCAGGUCUCUGGGCCGCAACUGACGCUGAGGAGCGAAAGCAUGGGAGCGAACAGG
This 252-nucleotide ribosomal RNA is filed under the name uncultured bacterium. Its description in RNAcentral is "partial 16S ribosomal RNA". It matches the Rfam family "Bacterial small subunit ribosomal RNA", at positions 524 to 776 of the family's 1533-position model. The record is from RNAcentral.